Molecule: non-coding RNA, 102 nt
Organism: Acanthosepion pharaonis
Lineage: Eukaryota; Metazoa; Mollusca; Cephalopoda; Sepiida; Sepiidae
Source: the annotation of a GenBank genome assembly
GUUGACAUACUAGUUCCCAUAUGAUCACCAAAGUUAAGCAAUGUUGAGACUGAUUUGUACUUAGAUGGAUUGAUGACCACUUGGGAAUACCUGGUGCUGUAA